RNAcentral lists this transfer RNA (73 nucleotides) under Mesocricetus auratus (golden hamster). It matches the Rfam family "tRNA". From Rfam's summary of the family: Transfer RNA (tRNA) molecules are approximately 80 nucleotides in length. Their secondary structure includes four short double-helical elements and three loops (D, anti-codon, and T loops). Lineage: Eukaryota; Metazoa; Chordata; Mammalia; Rodentia; Cricetidae. The record is from Rfam by way of RNAcentral.
GUAGGUGUGGCUCAGUCAGGAAAGUUCUUGCAUCAGGAGCAUGAGAAUCUGGGUUCAAGUCCCAGCACCCAUA